This 440-nucleotide ribosomal RNA is filed under the name uncultured bacterium. RNAcentral describes it as "partial 16S ribosomal RNA". It matches the Rfam family "Bacterial small subunit ribosomal RNA", at positions 338 to 795 of the family's 1533-position model. The record is from RNAcentral.
CCUACGGGAGACAGCAGUGGGGGAUAUUGCACAAUGGGGGGAACCCUGAUGCAGCGACGCCGCGUGGGUGAAGAAGCGCCUCGGCGCGUAAAGCCCUGUCAGCAGGGAAGAAAAUGACGGUACCUGAAGAAGAAGCCCCGGCGAACUACGUGCCAGCAGCCGCGGUAAUACGUAGGGGGCAAGCGUUAUCCGGAGUUACUGGGUGGAAAGGGGGCGGAGACGGCGAUGCAAGCCAGGAGUGAAAGCCCGGGGCCCAACCCCGGGCCUGCUCUUGGAACUGCGUGGCUGGAGUGCAGGAGGGGCAGGCGGAAUUCCUGGUGUAGCGGUGAAAUGCGUAGAUAUCAGGAGGAACACCGGUGGCGAAGGCGGCCUGCUGGACUGCAACUGACGUUGAGGCCCGAAAGCGUGGGGAGCAAACAGGAUUAGAUACCCCGGUAGUC